This 1986-nucleotide long non-coding RNA is filed under the name Homo sapiens (human). RNAcentral describes it as "non-protein coding LINC02591:14". Lineage: Eukaryota; Metazoa; Chordata; Mammalia; Primates; Hominidae. The record is from RNAcentral.
CUCCCUUCUUCGACCUGAAGCGACACUUUCCUGUGCUCUAGGAGGACUUGGGUCUUGUGAGAGUCGCCCUUUGCUCCUGGAGUCGUCUCACAAGGCCGUUCACUCCCUGCUUUCUUCAAAAAAAGAACCUGCAGGCGACACACCAAGGACUCCACGAGGGAGUCCUGAGUACUGGAGCGAGUUGCGGCCACGCGGCCGCAGCUCACCACUGGCCUAGAGAUGCCCUUUGCGAGGCGGCAGCAACUGACAAGAUGGUCGCGGGUCGCCGGGUCCGGAGCCGCCCACCAGGUUGCCAGGAGGAGGCGGGAGCGGGGAGGCGCCCGAGGUGAGACAGGGGCACCCUCUGCAUCAUAAAGGACCCAGACCCCGGCACCCUCAACAUCAUAAGGAAUCAGACGGAUGCGGAAACCGAGACGGGCUGGAUAGGAAACUCUUUCCAGGAAGGCUCCGGGGCACUCAACUGGUCUCCAACCUUCCCCUGCAACCUGUGACGCCUGCCAUUUUCCCAUUUUAGGCGAUGGCAACGCAACCCCUCCGUUUGCUCUGGGCAAAACUUCGAGAGUUCCCUCUGAAGCUGGAGCUUUUUCCUCAGAUCCAAGAUCCAAUUGGUCACCAAUUCGUGAUUUCCGUCGGCCAAGUGCGUGGGCAUUGAUCUACACGCGAGUUUCUCCACCUCUGCCGAAUGGCUACUUCGGGGUGGGGGAGGGGCCCUCCCGCCGUGGAUUGCAAGGUGUUUAGCAGCAUCUGUCUCCUCCGCUGACUAGACACAUGCCAGGGGGAUAACAUUCUCCCUCCCGCUUCCCCCAGCCGCGGCCUAGUGUCCCAGCGGGGUUGGGAGAGGCAUGUGAGGGCCAAGUUGCCCCCUGUUGAGAACCAUUGCUGCGCGUAGUCCUUCUCUCUGAACUUGUGCAGAGGACUCUCCAGGUGAAGGCUCAAGGGUGGAUCCAGCUCGAGACACCCUCGCUCCCCCUCACAGUCGGACCUUAGGAUUUAGGCUUUAACAUCUCCACAUCAUGAGAUUCGAAACCUUUAGGUCUUGUCUUCCGUUCUGUCCUCCAAAUCGGCCUCUUCCGAGCCUGUUGACCAGGGCCAGCCGGGCAGAGGGCUGGGCUCGCUCAACGAGGCUCCUCUCGCACCUCCUGGAGCUUCAGGCUUCUUUCCGUUGCAGAGAAGCUUUAUGGGCCAAUUCGUUCGGCAUCCCCGGGGGCAGGUGCGCGGUGCGCGGGGAAGAAGAGGAUUUGACUGCGGUUCUCCACCCCCGGCGCCCAACCUCCACCCCGGUGCGCGCGCUCUUCCAGGCUCCUGCUGGUCCCACUUGCCAGGAGUUAGGUCUCAGGUCAGCCUGAGCUCCUGAGACGCCCAGGCCCGGAAAGACACGUAGGGGAAACCAUCUGCUCACUUCUGUCCUGUCCGGAAGGGAUCCCUUUCUGACGGGAAAGAAAGGCGCUAAACAAGCACUGGCCUUGAGAUAAGCAAUGCUGAAGCACUUGCAGCUCACCUAUUACCAUAAACUGACUGAGCCCUCCCUACACAAGCCGUAACUACUGCUUUGAUUGGACAAGAGACUGAUUUCAGUAGUUUUCUCUUGAUAAGAGACCACUGGCCGUGGGCGGGUUCUGGACAGUUUACAGAAGCUAUGCACUUGAUUGCCUUUGUGUCCCUGCUUCACCUUUUGAAGCAUAGGGCCUAAUUAUAAUGUAUUUAAAUGUUGUCUCCACCCCAAAGUGAACAUGGGUUGCAUGUAACAGGCAUGUUUACUCAGCAUGCAUGCAGCAGGAUCCCUUCACAAAUAUUCAGAGCUCCCCCUAUUCCCUGUUGAAUAUGUAUAUGUGGCCAGCCAGAUCAACGUAAAUCACUAUUCGCCCUCCCCUCCCUGGAAACCUACUUUUCGGGUUUCAGCAGGAAGCUAUGCCUCCCCGUCUGUCAGAAUGGCCACUUGCAGGCUGUAACCCUUUAUAAAAAAAUAAAAUCUCCUUUCUAAAUUUA